ACCAACAGGGAUUGCCUCAGUAACGGCGAGUGAAGCGGCAACAGCUCAAAUUUGAAAUCUGGCCGCAAGGUCCGAGUUGUAAUUUGUAGAGGAUGCUUUUGGCGAGGUGACUUCCGAGUUCCCUGGAACGGGACGCCAUAGAGGGUGAGAGCCCCGUACGGUCGUGCCACCGAGCCUCUGUAAAGCUCCUUCGACGAGUCGAGUAGUUUGGGAAUGCUGCUCUAAAUGGGAGGUGUACGUCUUCUAAAGCUAAAUACCGGCCAGAGACCGAUAGCGCACAAGUAGAGUGAUCGAAAGAUGAAAAGCACUUUGAAAAGAGGGUUAAAAAGUACGUGAAAUUGUUGAAAGGGAAGCAUUCAUGACCAGACUUGGGCUUGGUUGAACAUCCGGCGUUCUCGCCGGUGCACUCUGCCAGCUCAGGCCAGCAUCAGUUUGCCCCGGGGGACAAAGGCGGCGGGAAUGUGGCUCCCUACGGGGAGUGUUAUAGCCCGUCGUGUAAUGCCCUGGGGUGGACUGAGGUUCGCGCUUGCGGCACGG
This 537-nucleotide small RNA is filed under the name Sarocladium terricola. Its description in RNAcentral is "eukaryotic LSU rRNA". It matches the Rfam family "Eukaryotic large subunit ribosomal RNA", at positions 64 to 611 of the family's 3401-position model. Lineage: Eukaryota; Fungi; Ascomycota; Sordariomycetes; Hypocreales; Sarocladiaceae. The record is from RNAcentral.